Sorex araneus (European shrew) is the source of this 477-nucleotide non-coding RNA. Lineage: Eukaryota; Metazoa; Chordata; Mammalia; Eulipotyphla; Soricidae. The record is from the annotation of a RefSeq genome assembly.
AUGGACCUCAUGGGCAGGAAUGUGCAUCAGCGCUGGUUCCUCCUCUUUCUGGUGGCAGCUCCCGGAUGUGUCCUGUCCCAGGUACAGCUGCAGGAGUCGGGACCAGUCCUGGUGACGCCCUCGCAGACGAUGUCCCUCACCUGUUUGGUCUCUGGAUUCUCAUUAACCAGUGACCAUGUGCACUGGGUCCGCCUGCUCCGUGGAAAGAGACUGGAUUGGAUUAGUGUUAUGUAUACUGAUGGGGGAACAAAUUAUAACCCAAGUCUUAAGUCCCGAGUCAGCAUCUCCAGGGACACCGCCAAGAACCAAGUUUACCUAAAAUUGAGCAACUCAGUGACUGAGGACACAGCCGUGUAUUAUUGUGCAAGAGCCACAGAAACACAGGGACCAGAAGAAAUGAUCAAUGCUUGGAAGUUUCCUACAAGUGAGUUCGGGGGACGAAGGACAGAAAAGGACCAGUAUGACAGGAAUAGUUAG